Molecule: unclassified non-coding RNA, 381 nt
Filed under: uncultured Alphaproteobacteria bacterium
Lineage: Bacteria; Pseudomonadati; Pseudomonadota; Alphaproteobacteria
Description: contains 16S-23S intergenic spacer region
Source: RNAcentral
UCCAGUUUAUCACUGGCAGUCUCUUUAGAGUUCUUAGCAUUACCUAUUAGCAAAUAAAGAUAGGGGUUGCGCCCGUUAAAGGACUUAACCCAACAUCUCACGACACGAGCUGACGACAGCCAUGCACCACCUGUGCGAAGUCCGGCCGAACCGAAGGCUUAAUCUCUUAAGCUUGCGACUUCCAUGUCAAGAGCUGGUAAGGUUUUUCGCGGAUUAUCGAAUUAAACCACAUGCUCCACCGCUUGUGCGGGUCCCCGUCAAUUCCUUUGAGUUUUAGUCUUGCGACCGUACUCCCCAGGCGGAUUGCUUAAUGCGUUAGCUUCAACACUGAAGGUUAUUCACCUCCAACGUUUAGCAAUCAUCGUUUAGGGCGUGGACUAC